Molecule: long non-coding RNA, 714 nt
Organism: Solanum pennellii
Lineage: Eukaryota; Viridiplantae; Streptophyta; Magnoliopsida; Solanales; Solanaceae
Exons: 2
Source: RefSeq, a predicted model, not a curated record
UUCCCCCAAAACAAAUCCCUAAUUUCCUAAACUUCCUUUUCCCCCAAGAACACAAAUCGCGGAUAGUCUUCAAGAUCAAGCCUAGUUCAAACAUCAUCAAGAAUCUUCUUAACAUUCAUUAGUCUUGUUCGUAAACGAGAUGCUCUAGCUGAUACACUCUCCUCUUCUAACUUCAGCCCUAAUAUCUCCGAAAUUUCACCUUGUAUCUUUCUUAUAUCCAGUUGCUGACCAACAACACCUAGUAAAAGCGUUGGACCACACAAACUUAAAUAACAAUUACCCUCAUUUAGCAGCUGCAGUACAACUUUUGAUGUCUUCUUAGCUCUCUUGCUCAACAUAUACCGCGAUUUUGGAUUGAUACAACGUCCAUUUAGACAACGAAUUUCAAUGUUGUGAACAUCAGACACAACAGUUUGAAUGUCUGGCUUCAUUUUGUUGACAUGUAUUAGCCAUGAAUCGACAUCAGGAGCGAUCUCUUAAAAAACAAAUAUCCGAAUUGACGGAUGAUUGGCUGGAUCAAGAAUUGUGCAACUCCACCAACAAUAGCAGAACCAAAUUCUGUAGCCAUGUCAACUGAUUUUACAGGACAAAAACAGAAUACAAACAGAGAAAAAUUGUAGUACUAUGUUUGUUGAAUAUUGAACUUCCAUUCACAUUUGGUUCUUUCUCCAUUGCGAUUUGUUGAACUUCUAUCCGCGAUUUGUGUUCUUGGGG